Papaver somniferum (opium poppy) is the source of this 105-nucleotide small nuclear RNA. The record is from RefSeq and is a predicted model, not a curated record. Lineage: Eukaryota; Viridiplantae; Streptophyta; Magnoliopsida; Ranunculales; Papaveraceae.
CUAGUUUAGGAUAUCAGAAAAAGAAAAAGAAAAACACAACAAAGAAGAUUAGCAUGGCCAUGCGCAAGGAUGACACGCACAAACCGAGAAAUGGUCCAGAUUUGG